RNAcentral lists this long non-coding RNA (243 nucleotides) under Elaeis guineensis (African oil palm). RNAcentral's name for it is "long non-coding RNA (EGUI_LNC058763)". The record is from RNAcentral. Lineage: Eukaryota; Viridiplantae; Streptophyta; Magnoliopsida; Arecales; Arecaceae.
ACCUCCAACAUGGCUUUUAUGGUUUUUACCUAUCAUUGAAAUUUGAAUCUCUUCUCUAUCAGAUUUUUAAUGGUCUUCAAAUUGGCCAAGUUGAAUGAUAUCAAAGUUCAAGAUUAGGCCAAUGAAUGUGGUGUAGAUAUAUCUCAUCACCCUUUUGACCAUCAAUUGAUGGGAUGUGGAGACAUUAUUUAUAUCAUAUGUAGACCAAUUGCAAUCAAAAGGCCAAUACAUCAAAAGAGGUAU